Molecule: ribosomal RNA, 716 nt
Filed under: uncultured Bacteroidales bacterium
Lineage: Bacteria; Pseudomonadati; Bacteroidota; Bacteroidia; Bacteroidales
Description: bacterial SSU rRNA
Rfam family: Bacterial small subunit ribosomal RNA
Source: RNAcentral
GAUGAACGCUAGCUACAGGCUUAACACAUGCAAGUCGAGGGGCAGCAUUUUAGUUUGCUUGCAAACUGAAGAUGGCGACCGGCGCACGGGUGAGUAACACGUAUCCAACCUGCCGAUAACUCCGGAAUAGCCUUUCGAAAGAAAGAUUAAUACCGGAUAGUAUACGAAUAUCGCAUGAUAUUUUUAUUAAAGAAUUUCGGUUAUCGAUGGGGAUGCGUUCCAUUAGUUUGUUGGCGGGGUAACGGCCCACCAAGACUACGAUGGAUAGGGGUUCUGAGAGGAAGGUCCCCCACAUUGGAACUGAGACACGGUCCAAACUCCUACGGGAGGCAGCAGUGAGGAAUAUUGGUCAAUGGGCGAGAGCCCGAACCAGCCAAGUAGCGUGAGGGAUGAAGGCUCUAUGGGUCGUAAACUUCUUUUAUAUGGGAAUAAAGUUUUCCACGUGUGGAAUUUUGUACGUACCAUAUGAAUAAGGAUCGGCUAACUCCGUGCCAGCAGCCGCGGUAAUACGGAGGAUCCGAGCGUUAUCCGGAUUUAUUGGGUUUAAAGGGAGCGUAGGUGGAUUGUUAAGUCAGUUGUAAAAGUUUGCGGCUCAACCGUAAAAUUGCAGUUGAAACUGGCAGUCUUGAGUACAGUAGAGGUGGGCGGAAUUCGUGGUGUAGCGGUGAAAUGCUUAGAUAUCACGAAGAACUCCGAUUGCGAAGGCAGCUCACUAG